AUGAACGCUGGCGGCGUGCCUAACACAUGCAAGUCGAGCGAUUCUCUUCGGAGAAGAGCGGCGGACGGGUGAGUAACGCGUGGGUAACCUGCCCUGUACACACGGAUAACAUACCGAAAGGUAUGCUAAUACGAGAUAAUAUGCUUUUAUCGCAUGGUAGAAGUAUCAAAGCUUUUGCGGUACAGGAUGGACCCGCGUCUGAUUAGCUAGUUGGUAAGGUAACGGCUUACCAAGGCGACGAUCAGUAGCCGACCUGAGAGGGUGAUCGGCCACAUUGGAACUGAGACACGGUCCAAACUCCUACGGGAGGCAGCAGUGGGGAAUAUUGCACAAUGGGCGAAAGCCUGAUGCAGCAACGCCGCGUGAGCGAUGAAGGCCUUCGGGUCGUAAAGUUCUGUCCUCAAGGAAGAUAAUGACGGUACUUGAGGAGGAAGCCCCGGCUAACUACGUG
Molecule: ribosomal RNA, 451 nt
Filed under: uncultured bacterium
Lineage: Bacteria
Description: partial 16S ribosomal RNA
Rfam family: Bacterial small subunit ribosomal RNA
Source: RNAcentral